CUUCCUGCUCUGGAGGGCGCGCGGAGCUUCCCUUCACUGGUGGCCAAGAGAGGAGAGAAGCAGGUUAAACAUCCCUGGCUCUUUAAGUCACUCCUCAUAGGGAUUCAUGGUCUCCAGACCUUUGAUCCUUUUAGUCGCCCUCCUCUGAACACCUUCUAGCUUGUCAAUAUCUCUUUUGACAGAAACGCAAACAAUCCCACCAAAGCAGUUCCUAGAUUCAUCCAGAACAACAAGCCAAUGCAAGAAAGACUGCCUUAUUAUUCAGUCUUCCUCUCAAGUUAGCUUUCUGACAUUCAGAUGGAUAAGAAAGUAGUGCAUGAGAAUUAUAGCUAUCUCUCAUUCUGUUAAAUAACAGAACUUUUAAGAAACACUGCCAAUAAAAAAUUGAAAUUGA
Molecule: long non-coding RNA, 394 nt
Organism: Anolis sagrei ordinatus
Lineage: Eukaryota; Metazoa; Chordata; Lepidosauria; Squamata; Anolidae
Source: RefSeq, a predicted model, not a curated record